Molecule: ribosomal RNA, 502 nt
Filed under: Bacillaceae bacterium CL7.15
Lineage: Bacteria; Bacillati; Bacillota; Bacilli; Caryophanales; Bacillaceae
Description: bacterial SSU rRNA
Rfam family: Bacterial small subunit ribosomal RNA
Source: RNAcentral
CCCUGGCUCAGGACGAACGCGGGCGGCGUGCCUAAUACAUGCAAGUCGAGCGGAUUGAUGGGAGCUUGCUCCCUGAUAUCAGCGGCGGACGGGUGAGUAACACGUGGGCAACCUGCCUGUAAGACUGGGAUAACUUCGGGAAACCGGAGCUAAUACCGGAUAAUCCUUUUCCUCUCAUGAGGAAAAGCUGAAAGACGGUUUCGGCUGUCACUUACAGAUGGGCCCGCGGCGCAUUAGCUAGUUGGUGAGGUAACGGCUCACCAAGGCGACGAUGCGUAGCCGACCUGAGAGGGUGAUCGGCCACACUGGGACUGAGACACGGCCCAGACUCCUACGGGAGGCAGCAGUAGGGAAUCUUCCACAAUGGACGAAAGUCUGAUGGAGCAACGCCGCGUGAGCGAUGAAGGCCUUCGGGUCGUAAAGCUCUGUUGUUAGGGAAGAACAAGUAUCGGAGUAACUGCCGGUACCUUGACGGUACCUAACCAGAAAGCCACGGCUAACU